AACGAACGCUGGCGGCAGGCCUAACACAUGCAAGUCGAACGCACCGCAAGGUGAGUGGCGCACGGGUGAGUAACACGUGGGAAUGUACCCUUUGGUUCGGAAUAACGUUUGGAAACGAACGCUAAUACCGGAUGAGCCCUGCGGGGGAAAGAUUUAUCGCCAAAGGAGCAGCCCGCGUCUGAUUAGCUAGUUGGUGGGGUAAAGGCCUACCAAGGCGACGAUCAGUAGCUGGUCUGAGAGGAUGAUCAGCCACACUGGGACUGAGACACGGCCCAGACUCCUACGGGAGGCAGCAGUGGGGAAUAUUGGACAAUGGGCGCAAGCCUGAUCCAGCCAUGCCGCGUGAGUGAUGAAGGCCUCGGGUUGUAAAGCUCUUUCGCACGCGACGAUGAUGACGGUAGCGUGAGAAGAAGCCCCGGCUAACUUCGUGCCAGCAGCCGCGGUAAU
This 447-nucleotide ribosomal RNA is filed under the name uncultured bacterium. Its description in RNAcentral is "bacterial SSU rRNA". It matches the Rfam family "Bacterial small subunit ribosomal RNA", at positions 29 to 524 of the family's 1533-position model. The record is from RNAcentral.